AAUUAAAAAUUUCGUCCAUUUAUACCGUUAAAAAUUGGUGUGAUUGAUAGAAUAACUAGUAACUCAUGUUGGUGUAUAGCAAUAAACUUUUAACAGGAAAAAUGGAUGAAAUUUGUAACA
Non-coding RNA from Gossypium raimondii (Peruvian cotton), 120 nucleotides. The record is from Rfam. Lineage: Eukaryota; Viridiplantae; Streptophyta; Magnoliopsida; Malvales; Malvaceae.